AGCCAGCAGCCGCGGUAAUACGUAGGGGGUAAGCGUUGUCCGGAUUUACUGGGUGUAAAGGGCGCGUAGGCGGGCCCGUAAGUCAGAGGUGAAAGCCUGCAGCUUAACUGCAGAACUGCCUUUGAUACUGCGGGUCUUGAAUUCAGAAGAGAGAGAUGGAAUUCCAGGUGUAGUGGUGAAAUACGUAGAUAUCUGGAAGAACACCAGUGGCGAAGGCGAUCUCUUGGUCUGAUAUUGACGCUGAGGCGCGAAAGCGUGGGUAGCAAACAGGAUUAGAUACCCUGGUAGUCCACGCUGUAAACGAUGAAUACUAGAUGUUGGGCAGAAAUGUUCAGUGUCGCAGCUAACGCAUUAAGUAUUCCACCUGGGGAGUACGAUCGCAAGGUUGAAACUUAAAGGAAUUGGCGGGGGA
This 412-nucleotide ribosomal RNA is filed under the name uncultured bacterium. RNAcentral's name for it is "bacterial SSU rRNA". It matches the Rfam family "Bacterial small subunit ribosomal RNA", at positions 506 to 920 of the family's 1533-position model. The record is from RNAcentral.